Molecule: long non-coding RNA, 688 nt
Filed under: Homo sapiens (human)
Lineage: Eukaryota; Metazoa; Chordata; Mammalia; Primates; Hominidae
Description: HSALNT0052763
Source: RNAcentral
CUAGUCCUGUCUCCAAAAUCCCCGUUGUGUUUCUAAUAAGACUUUAUGUGACCAAGUUCAAAGAUUGACUGAAUUGUUCCAGAAAUACUGGUGGGCUUUAGGUCAAAAAUUACUUUAUUAAGACUUUUCAUAUUGAACAUAACUGCCAAAGUCUGCAUUUUCACCUUUUCUGAGAAAUUGUGAAACAGCAGCAAGAAGAAUGAAUUUUAAAACCCCCAAACUCCAUUUGCACCAGACUUAGAGACAGAGAUCCUUUUCAGACUCCAAAAUACCUGGAUGGUCUGCCCAAAGCAGCUGAGAUCAGGUGAAACCUGUGUGGGAAAGGGUGAAGUGCAGGGUGGUAAGAGAUGGAGCAGGGACAGACGUCAGCAACACGCCAAAGGCAUUUCCUGAGCAGAGGGUGCACAGUGAGGUGCAGGAAGAGAGGUGAUCAACACUUGGGUCAGAAGUUCUCCUGGCCCCAGUUUGGUUCUGAGAAGCAGAGGAGGCAGGUUUGCCAAAUUUCAAAUUUGCAGGAGGCAGACAGUCAGUCUCUGUGGCAGCAGAAAAGAAGAGAGCCAUCGGGUUGUGAAGACAGCUAGCCUGGAAAACUGCUGCCAUCGCCUUCGUCCUAGGCAGAAACACAAACAUAAGCACAUUAAACAAUGCAAAGACAAAUACUGAGAAAAAUGACACCAUUGACUGUAAU